UGCAAGUCGAGCGGACAGAAGGGAGCUUGCUCCCGGAUGUUAGCGGCGGACGGGUGAGUAACACGUGGGUAACCUGCCUGUAAGACUGGGAUAACUCCGGGAAACCGGAGCUAAUACCGGAUAGUUCCUUGAACCGCAUGGUUCAAGGAUGAAAGACGGUUUCGGCUGUCACUUACAGAUGGACCCGCGGCGCAUUAGCUAGUUGGUGGGGUAAUGGCUCACCAAGGCGACGAUGCGUAGCCGACCUGAGAGGGUGAUCGGCCACACUGGGACUGAGACACGGCCCAGACUCCUACGGGAGGCAGCAGUAGGGAAUCUUCCGCAAUGGACGAAAGUCUGACGGAGCAACGCCGCGUGAGUGAUGAAGGUUUUCGGAUCGUAAAGCUCUGUUGUUAGGGAAGAACAAGUGCGAGAGUAACUGCUCGCACCUUGACGGUACCUAACCAGAAAGCCACGGCUAACUACGUGCCAGCAGCCGCGGUAAUACGUAGGUGGCAAGCGUUGUCCGGAAUUAUUGGGCGUAAAGGGCUCGCAGGCGGUUUCUUAAGUCUGAUGUGAAAGCCCCCGGCUCAACCGGGGAGGGUCAUUGGAAACUGGGAAACUUGAGUGCAGAAGAGGAGAGUGGAAUUCCACGUGUAGCGGUGAAAUGCGUAGAGAUGUGGAGGAACACCAGUGGCGAAGGCGACUCUCUGGUCUGUAACUGACGCUGAGGAGCGAAAGCGUGGGGAGCGAACAGGAUUAGAUACCCUGGUAGUCCACGCCGUAAACGAUGAGUGCUAAGUGUUAGGGGGUUUCCGCCCCUUAGUGCUGCAGCUAACGCAUUAAGCACUCCGCCUGGGGAGUACGGUCGCAAGACUGAAACUCAAAGGAAUUGACGGGGGCCCGCACAAGCGGUGGAGCAUGUGGUUUAAUUCGAAGCAACGCGAAGAACCUUACCAGGUCUUGACAUCCUCUUACAACCCUAGAGAUAGGGCUUUCCCUUUGGGGACAGCAUGACAGGUGCUGCAUUGUUUUUGUCAGCUUGUGUCUUGAGCUGUUGGGUUAAGUCCCGCAAAGAGCGCAACCCUUGAUUUUUGUUGCCAGCAUUCAGUUGGGCACUCUUAGGUGACUGCCGGUGACAAACCGGAGGAAGGUGGGGAUGACGUCAAAUCAUCAUGCCCCUUAUGACCUUGGCUACACACGUGAUACAAUGGACAGAACAAAGGGCUGCUAGACCGCAAGGUUUAGCCAAUCCCAUAAAUCUGUUCUCAGUUCGGAUCGCAGUCUGCAACUCGACUGCGUGAAGCCGGAAUCGUUAGUAAUCGCGGAUCAGCAUGCCGCGGUGAAUACGUUCCCGGGCCUAGUACACACCGCCCGUCACACCACGAGAGUUUGCAACACCCGAAGUCGGUGAGGUAACCUUUAUGGAGCCAGCCGCCGAAGGUGG
RNAcentral lists this ribosomal RNA (1426 nucleotides) under Bacillus pumilus. RNAcentral describes it as "bacterial SSU rRNA". It matches the Rfam family "Bacterial small subunit ribosomal RNA". Lineage: Bacteria; Bacillati; Bacillota; Bacilli; Caryophanales; Bacillaceae. The record is from RNAcentral.